GACGAACGCUGGCGGCGUGCUUAACACAUGCAAGUCGAACGGAAAGGCCCUGCUUUUGUGGGGUGCUCGAGUGGCGAACGGGUGAGUAACACGUGAGUAACCUGCCCUUGACUUUGGGAUAACUUCAGGAAACUGGGGCUAAUACCGGAUAGGAGCUCCUGCUGCAUGGUGGGGGUUGGAAAGUUUCGGCGGUUGGGGAUGGACUCGCGGCUUAUCAGCUAGUUGGUGGGGUAGUGGCUUACCAAGGCUUUGACGGGUAGCCGGCCUGAGAGGGUGACCGGUCACAUUGGGACUGAGAUACGGCCCAGACUCCUACGGGAGGCAGCAGUGGGGAAUAUUGCACAAUGGGCGGAAGCCUGAUGCAGCAACGCCGCGUGCGGGAUGACGGCCUUCGGGUUGUAAACCGCUUUCGCCUGUGACGAAGCGUGAGUGACGGUAAUGGGUAAAGAAGCACCGGCUAACUACGUG
This 468-nucleotide ribosomal RNA is filed under the name uncultured bacterium. RNAcentral's name for it is "partial 16S ribosomal RNA". It matches the Rfam family "Bacterial small subunit ribosomal RNA", at positions 28 to 507 of the family's 1533-position model. The record is from RNAcentral.